Long non-coding RNA from Oncorhynchus gorbuscha (pink salmon), 1335 nucleotides. RefSeq lists it as uncharacterized. The record is from RefSeq and is a predicted model, not a curated record. The transcript is spliced from 3 exons. NCBI's taxonomy places the organism in Eukaryota, Metazoa, Chordata, Actinopteri, Salmoniformes, Salmonidae.
UUAUUUUUAUUAAAACUGCAUUGUUGGUUAAGGUCUUGUAAGCAUUUCACUGUAACACCUGUUGUAUUCGGCACGUGUGACAAAUAACAUUUCAUUUGAUAGCCAUCACGCCAGAGCUAGUAUCAGACCACUGCGCUAUAGGAGCAUGGCAGUAAAGUGCUUUUUCCUUAACACUGGUGCCGAUGAAUGGGAUGGUGUACCAAACCAUAUAAAAUCCAUCCCUACGCUAGAGAGUUUGAAGAUACAGUAAACCUUAAGUAAUGAUUUAUGGGCAGAAUGCUUAAUACUGCACAGGCUUAAAGAAAGUAUAAUUAUUUCAAUGAAUGUUACUUGGUAAUCUAUUUUAUUUCUUGUACCGUUUCCUCCCUAUUGAUGAGAUGUAUUUUGUUUUCAUGUUAUUAUCUUGUUUAGGUUUUCUUUUCAUGUAUUUUCAAGAGGACCAUAAUGGAAAUACGUCUUAACUUUUUUGAGUCAUCCUUGAUGAUAAUAAUGGCAUUGUACUGUAUCAACAUGUCUGGUUGCAUUGUGCCUAAAAUGUUUUAAAAAUACAUAUAAUAAUAAUAAUAAUAAUAAUAAUAAUAAUAUGAAUGUCCAAUACAUACAAUAGACUGACUGGAAAGGUGAUUUCCCACAGUCAAAGUCCUGCUACGAUGCUAAUAUUUGUGUAAACUCUACACAGUUGUGUGAGUGUCACUGAGUAGUCUGAUUUUCAUGGUUUCAACAUCCAUAGGUUAGGCUGUACAGACAGUACUUAUAAGUAUGGCCCCAAUGCCAUUCUAAAGUCUAACACAUCGACAGUGUGAUUUUAACUGCACAUUUUUUUGUUGUGUCAAAUGAACAAAUUAUUGUCUCAUGUUGGAUUUAUUUAACAACAUUAUGAACUUGUUAAGCAUGAUUUACUCCAAAUAUGGCAUGAUUCCACUAUUUGAAUCCGUUUGAUUCACUGUCAAUGGGGGACUUAUAUUUUGAAGGCGACCUGCAAAUUCCACUUUUGUGGUUUAUCCUUAUUGUGGCUAGCUUCACAUUGGUGAAUUCACCAACACUGACCCACUGAGAAGGACUAAACUGAUCAUUACUGUCAACCAGACAAGGACAACUGAAAUCCACAUAUUAAAACGUAGUCUGAAUAUUGGGACAGGAAUCACAAAAACAAUCACAAGUUCUUAACAAGAGGACCAAUAGUAAGUCAUCCUGAAUGGAUCCCCCAAACAGAGGGGGGGCAACGGAGAGGUAGAGGAGGAGCCAACCAUGUCGAUCACAGAAGAGGUGCUGAGGCUGGUCAGAAAGAAGAGGAAGGGAUAGCCAACCAAGGGAGAGGGGGAAGAGGUAGGGGGG